CAUGGAGGGUGAGAAUCCCGUUCUUGGCAUGGACUCCCGAGGCUAUGUGAUGCGCCCUCAAAGAGUCAAGUUGUUUGGGAAUGCAGCUUAAAAUGGGAGGUAAAUUUCUCCUAAGGCUAAAUAAUGGCGAGAGACCGAUAGCGAACAAGUACCGUGAGGGAAAGAUGAAAAGAACUUUGAAAAGAGAGUUAAACAGUACGUGAAAUUGUUGAAAGGGAAACGAUUGAAGUCAGUCGUACCGGCGGGUAAUCAGCCUUUUGAGUGUGAUUAUGUGGAACGUGAAGAGUUUAAUAGCCUUCAUGUCUGCAUAUUCGUACACUUUGGGUGUAUUUGCUCGUGUGGUAGGUUAACAUCAAUUUCGAAUGUCAUAAAAUGACUGGAGGAAUGUAGCUUCGAUCUCGGUUGAAGUGUUAUAGACUCUGGUAGAUGUGAUGAACGAGAUUGAGGAUUGCAACGGAUACCUUUCGGGGCUACCUGUCUGAUCUCUGAGAGUUACUCUGGUGCUAAAAGCGAGCUUAUGGUAUCAAAGUUGACGUUCAAUAGGACAGAAUGGGUUAAAUUCGUUAAGGAUGUUGACGUAAUGG
This 584-nucleotide ribosomal RNA is filed under the name uncultured Glomeromycotina. RNAcentral's name for it is "LSU rRNA". It matches the Rfam family "Eukaryotic large subunit ribosomal RNA", at positions 204 to 637 of the family's 3401-position model. Lineage: Eukaryota; Fungi; Glomeromycota. The record is from RNAcentral.